GCCGGGCAUGGUGGUGCAUGCCUGUAGUUCCAGCUACUCAGAGGCUGAGACUGGAGAAUCGCUUGAGUCCAGGAGUUCUGGGCUGCAGUGCGCUAUGCCGAGCGGGUGUCCGCACUAAGUUUGGCAUCAAUAUGGUGACCUCCCAGGAGCGGGGGACGACCAGGUUACCUAAGGAGGGGUGAACCGGCCCAGGUCAGAAACAGAGCAGGUCAAAACUCCUGUGCUGAUCAGUAGUGGGAUCGUGCCUGUGAAUAGCCACUGCACUCCAACCUGGGCAACAUGGCGAGACCCUGUCUCU
RNAcentral lists this signal recognition particle RNA (298 nucleotides) under Aotus nancymaae (Ma's night monkey). RNAcentral describes it as "Metazoan signal recognition particle RNA (ENSANAG00000000227.1)". It matches the Rfam family "Metazoan signal recognition particle RNA". Rfam says of the family: The signal recognition particle (SRP) is a universally conserved ribonucleoprotein. The record is from RNAcentral. Lineage: Eukaryota; Metazoa; Chordata; Mammalia; Primates; Aotidae.